Sinocyclocheilus grahami is the source of this 824-nucleotide long non-coding RNA. RefSeq lists it as uncharacterized. The record is from RefSeq and is a predicted model, not a curated record. Lineage: Eukaryota; Metazoa; Chordata; Actinopteri; Cypriniformes; Cyprinidae. The transcript is spliced from 4 exons.
CCAGAUAGUUUCCCCAGUGUCUUCAUGGCCCCCCUCCAACUCUGAUAGAAAUGGCUCAGCAAAUACCAAUCCACCCCCUCUUGCUGAGACCGCCAUGAACAGAGAGAGUGGAAUAGUACCAGGUGCGAUUGCUGCAGCAGUGUUCAUAGGCUUUCUGUUAGCCCUCUAUGCUGCUCUUUGGAAAUGUAUGGUUACGCAACCGAAAAGGAGGGAAAAAAGAGCAAGACUGAAGGCUCGUGAACACAGGUCUCUUACAUGCUGACCUCUGAACGGGACGUCCGCCUGUCUACCAGAGAUUCUGAGUUACUGAUGUUAAGUCGGAGCUUCUCCUGGUGUGAAGCACCCUCAUGAAACGUGUUUAGGUAUUAACGCACAGUUUGAGACAAUAUUUCAUGCAGGAGGGAACUAGAUGCUUCAGAUGCUUCAGUCACCUAUCAGGUUCUGGAUUGGUAUGUUUGACAGAGCAGUGUAUGUUAUUCAGUUAGACCAGAGAGUUACAUUUUAGAAAAUGGUUUUAAAAAUGUAAAUGUAGUCAUUAAACUAAGUGAUUUUGUGUAUAUUGUGUGUAUACAUAGGGAAUAGCAAGCCCAAAUGUGCUCUUGAAGUGUGUACGAAUGUUUUACUUUGUCACAACAAAACAAAUGUCCACUAGAUGGCAGAUGGCUCAAUGUUUUUUUUUUUACUUUUUACUUGAUGAAACAAGAAUCAGCCAAGAUAUACAGUCUUUCAGUCUUUAGAGGUUUAUCUUUAUAGACUUAUGUGUUUCGGACGUUUAUUUUAUUGCUGAUAGCUAUGCUAAUUAAUUCAUGAAUGAUAUAAUCAAU